CCUACGGGUGGCAGCAGUGGGGAAUAUUGGACAAUGGGGGGAACCCUGAUCCAGCCACGCCGCGUGUGUGAAGAAGGCCCUCGGGUUGUAAAGCACUUUCAGUGAGGAAGAACGUCUGGUGGUUAAUACCCAUCAGGAAAGACAUCACUCACAGAAGAAACACCGGCCUAACUCCGGGCCAGCAGCCGCGGUAAUACGGAGGGUGCGAGCGUUAAUCGGAAUUACUGGGCGUAAAGCGCGCGUAGGUGGCUUGAUAAGCCGGUUGUGAAAGCCCCGGGCUCAACCUGGGAACGGCAUCCGGAACUGUCAAGCUAGAGUGCAGGAGAGGAAGGUAGAAUUCCCGGUGUAGCGGUGAAAUGCGUAGAGAUCGGGAGGAAUACCAGUGGCGAAGGCGGCCUUCUGGACUGACACUGACACUGAGGUGCGAAAGCGUGGGUAGCAAACAGGAUUAGAUACCCCUGUAGUC
Molecule: ribosomal RNA, 466 nt
Filed under: Vreelandella stevensii
Lineage: Bacteria; Pseudomonadati; Pseudomonadota; Gammaproteobacteria; Oceanospirillales; Halomonadaceae
Description: partial 16S ribosomal RNA
Rfam family: Bacterial small subunit ribosomal RNA
Source: RNAcentral